AACGAACGCUGGCGGCAGGCCUAACACAUGCAAGUCGAGCGAGCAUUUCGGUGCUAGCGGCGGACGGGUGAGUAACGCGUGGGAACGUGCCCUUUUCUGCGGAAUAGUCCUGGGAAACUGGGGGUAAUACCGCAUACGCCCUUUUGGGGAAAGAUUUAUCGGAGAAGGAUCGGCCCGCGUUGGAUUAGGUAGUUGGUGGGGUAAUGGCCCCCCAAGCCGACGAUCCAUAGCUGGUUUGAGAGGAUGAUCAGCCACACUGGGACUGAGACACGGCCCAGACUCCUACGGGAGGCAGCAGUGGGGAAUCUUAGACAAUGGGGGCAACCCUGAUCUAGCCAUGCCGCGUGAGUGAUGAAGGCCUUAGGGUUGUAAAGCUCUUUCAGCUGGGAAGAUAAUGACGGUACCAGCAGAAGAAGCCCCGGCUAACUCCGUG
Molecule: ribosomal RNA, 433 nt
Filed under: uncultured bacterium
Lineage: Bacteria
Description: partial 16S ribosomal RNA
Rfam family: Bacterial small subunit ribosomal RNA
Source: RNAcentral